CGCGGGGGAUUAACGACACCAAGCUGCGGCAGACGGAGACACUGAAGAGGGACUUCAGGAGCCUGAUUGAGAUGGUGCGCAGCACAUUGCCCGCGACGACGAUCAUCGUGUCAGGAACGCUUCCCACGUAUCGACGAGGACAUGAAAGUAAAUUAGGCUUUUUCGCACUGAUGGCCUGCACCCCAGCACCCCAGAGUCGAAGCGGAACUCCUGUCGGACAACAUCUCCAGGACACUACGAUAUGUAGUGGUUUUAGAAAGUCACCGUAGCCACCCAAAUCCAGUCCAUAUCCAGAC
Sinocyclocheilus grahami is the source of this 296-nucleotide long non-coding RNA. RefSeq lists it as uncharacterized. The record is from RefSeq and is a predicted model, not a curated record. Lineage: Eukaryota; Metazoa; Chordata; Actinopteri; Cypriniformes; Cyprinidae. The transcript is spliced from 3 exons.